This is a long non-coding RNA of Branchiostoma belcheri (Belcher's lancelet), 283 nucleotides long. RefSeq lists it as uncharacterized. The transcript has 3 exons. The record is from RefSeq and is a predicted model, not a curated record. NCBI's taxonomy places the organism in Eukaryota, Metazoa, Chordata, Leptocardii, Amphioxiformes, Branchiostomatidae.
CCAGGGUCCUCACCAGAACAAGAUGGCGGCCGAGUUUUGAAAAAGUGCUGGUUCCUUUGGGUUUUCAUCGCGUCUUUUUAGGAUCCUAAAAAGGCAUCAGUAUGGUGGCGUCCUGAUUGUUGCUGAUGCUGAUUUCCUGUCUUUAACACCAUGGAAGCUGCCGCUAAGAAGUCUGUGGAGGCUACCAGGUCAACCGAGUCUUCUGGUGCUGCUGCCUCAGCAGAUGGGACGUCUGCACAGGAUGGGACCGCCAGACUCAGUCUCAAGUCCACAUCUGAUAAGU